GACGAACGCUGGCGGCGUGCUUAACACAUGCAAGUCGAACGGAAAGGCCCUGCUUUCGGGGUACUCGAGUUGCGGACGGGUGAGUAACACGUGGGUGGUCUGCCCUGCACUUCGGGUUAGGCCUGGUAGACUGGGUCUAAUACCGGAUAGGAGCCAUUUUGAGCGUGAUGGUUGGAAAGUUUUUUCGGGGUAGGAUGAGCUCGCGGCCUAGCAGCUUGUUGGUGGGGUAAUGGCCUACCAAGGCGGCGACGGGUAGCCGGCCUGAGUGGGUGGACGGCCACACUGGGACCCAGAGACGGGCAAGACUACGAAGGGAGGCAGAAGUGGGGAAUAUUGCACAAUGGGCGCCCGCGUGAUGCAGCGAGGCCGCGGGGGCGAAAACCGCCUUUGGGAUGUAAAAACAUUUCGCUAGGUAAGAAGGUUUUUGUGACGGUACCUAGAUCAGAAGCCCCGGCUAACUACGUG
Molecule: ribosomal RNA, 465 nt
Filed under: uncultured bacterium
Lineage: Bacteria
Description: partial 16S ribosomal RNA
Rfam family: Bacterial small subunit ribosomal RNA
Source: RNAcentral